Mycena vulgaris is the source of this 92-nucleotide non-coding RNA. NCBI's taxonomy places the organism in Eukaryota, Fungi, Basidiomycota, Agaricomycetes, Agaricales, Mycenaceae. The record is from the annotation of a GenBank genome assembly.
GACCUGGUGGUGCAAUGCGGCACACUUGCUCUCGUUAAACAUCAUGAUCGUCUGGAAUGCGGGAAGUCCUGGUUCGAAUCCGGGUUAGGUCA